AAACCACACGAGAAUUACGAAUGAUGAUGAAGGUAAUAAAU
Molecule: non-coding RNA, 41 nt
Filed under: Trypanosoma brucei brucei
Lineage: Eukaryota; Euglenozoa; Kinetoplastea; Trypanosomatida; Trypanosomatidae
Source: RNAcentral